RNAcentral lists this long non-coding RNA (240 nucleotides) under Polistes fuscatus (common paper wasp). Its description in RNAcentral is "uncharacterized LOC122519633". Lineage: Eukaryota; Metazoa; Arthropoda; Insecta; Hymenoptera; Vespidae. The record is from RNAcentral.
GAAUGUGUAUGUGUGUAUGUGUGUGUGAUAGUUGGAAUGUGGAAUACGACCGACAGGUGCAUCGAUGCGAUGCAAUGCGCGUGCGGAAACACGCAAACUGUAUUGUCGUUACAUCGGAAAGCUGCUCACGCACGCGAUGGGAUAAUAUUGUCUUUAUGGGGAGCAAACCGUCUGCUUAAAUUACACACCUUACCUCGCUUACAUCUUAGAAACAAACUACGUGAUGGAUAGAUAAAUAAA